This 749-nucleotide ribosomal RNA is filed under the name Polymyxa graminis. RNAcentral's name for it is "SSU rRNA". It matches the Rfam family "Eukaryotic small subunit ribosomal RNA", at positions 539 to 1265 of the family's 1831-position model. The record is from RNAcentral. Lineage: Eukaryota; Endomyxa; Phytomyxea; Plasmodiophorida; Plasmodiophoridae.
GAGGAUCCAUUGGAGGGCAAGUCUGGUGCCAGCAGCCGCGGUAAUACCAGCUCCAAUAGCGUAUGUUAAAGUUGUUGCAGUUAAAAAGCUCGUAGUUGGACUUGUGUGCGCCGGAUGCGGCGAUCUGCGGCCAAAAGGUCGUUGCGAUCUGCCCGUCCUGGCGCCGUAAAAUUUGCAACUGGGUCGCCGCUGGCCUUAAUUGAUCGGUGGCGUCUGCUCGGUUGCUCGUUUACUGUGAGAAAAUUGGAGUGUUCAAGGCAGGCGUGGAUUGCAACUGAACAUGUUAGCAUGGAAUAAUAAGAUAGGGCUCCGGCUCAUAUUUUGUUGGUUUCUAGAGCGUGGGAGUAAUGAUUGAUAGGGACAGUUGGGGGUGCUAGUAUUCAGCGGCCAGAGGUGAAAUUCAUGGAUUCGCUGAAGACUGACUUAUGCGAAAGCAUUCACCAAGGAUGUCCUCUUUAAUCAAGAACGAAAGUUGGGGGAUCGAAGACGAUCAGAUACCGUCGUAGUCUCAACCAUAAACGAUGUCGACUAGGGAUUGGCGGUCGUUUUUCAUAUAAGACUCCGUCAGCACCUUCCGAGAAAUCAAAGUGUUUGGACUCUUGGGGAAGUAUGGUCGCAAGGCUGAAACUUAAAGGAAUUGACGGAAGGGCACCACCAGGAGUGGAGCCUGCGGCUUAAUUUGACUCAACACGGGGAAACUUACCAGGUCCAGAGAUGUAGAGGAUUGACAGAUUGAAGCUCUUUCUUGA